AGGGCUGUAGCUCAGUGGUGGAGCACUUGCCUGGCAAGUAUGAGGCCCUGGGAUCAAUCCCCAGUACUA
Molecule: transfer RNA, 69 nt
Filed under: Marmota marmota marmota (Alpine marmot)
Lineage: Eukaryota; Metazoa; Chordata; Mammalia; Rodentia; Sciuridae
Also listed under: 1 other name
Rfam family: tRNA
About the family: Transfer RNA (tRNA) molecules are approximately 80 nucleotides in length. Their secondary structure includes four short double-helical elements and three loops (D, anti-codon, and T loops). Further hydrogen bonds mediate the characteristic L-shaped molecular structure. tRNAs have two regions of fundamental functional importance: the anti-codon, which is responsible for specific mRNA codon recognition, and the 3' end, to which the tRNAs corresponding amino acid is attached (by aminoacyl-tRNA synthetases). tRNAs cope with the degeneracy of the genetic code in two manners: having more than one tRNA (with a specific anti-codon) for a particular amino acid; and 'wobble' base-pairing, i.e. permitting non-standard base-pairing at the 3rd anti-codon position.
Source: Rfam by way of RNAcentral